UGGGGAAUAUUGCACAAUAGGCGCAAGCCUGAUGCAGCAACGCCGCGUGAGGGACGACGGCCUUCGGGUUGUAAACCUCUUUUGGCAGGGAAGAAGCGAAAGUGACGGUACCUGCAGAAAAAGCACCGGCUAACUACGUGCCAGCAGCCGCGGUGAUACGUAGGGUGCAAGCGUUGUCCGGAAUUAUUGGGCGUAAAGAGCCCGUAGGCGGUUUGUCGCGUCUGCUGUGAAAACCCGAGGCUCAACCUCGGGCCUGCAGUGGGUACGGGCAGACUAGAGUGCGGUAGGGGAGAUUGGAAUUCCUGGUGUAGCGGUGGAAUGCGCAGAUAUCAGGAGGAACACCGAUGGCGAAGGCAGAUCUCUGAGCCGUAACUGACGCUGAGGAGCGAAAGCAUGGGGAGCGAACA
This 407-nucleotide ribosomal RNA is filed under the name uncultured bacterium. RNAcentral describes it as "bacterial SSU rRNA". It matches the Rfam family "Bacterial small subunit ribosomal RNA", at positions 355 to 774 of the family's 1533-position model. The record is from RNAcentral.